This 27-nucleotide non-coding RNA is filed under the name Bombyx mori (domestic silkworm). Lineage: Eukaryota; Metazoa; Arthropoda; Insecta; Lepidoptera; Bombycidae. The record is from RNAcentral.
UUCCUCUGCACGCGAUUUUAGGGACGC